Molecule: long non-coding RNA, 331 nt
Organism: Leopardus geoffroyi (Geoffroy's cat)
Lineage: Eukaryota; Metazoa; Chordata; Mammalia; Carnivora; Felidae
Exons: 2
Source: RefSeq, a predicted model, not a curated record
UCUGACACUUGUAUGUCACCUUCUCAUUUCUCUGACCUUAUGUUUUACUUUCAGAACAUGCUUUGGACCUCUUUCUCACCUUUGUUUGGCAAGGGAUUCUUGGAUCCCUUGUGCAUUCUUGGAUUCUCCACCAUAGCUCCUCACCAGCUCUGGGCUCUGCUUUGGCAUCAUUGGUGAAUUAGGUGGGCUUGGGAUCAGCUCACUGCUUCACUCUAGAACCCAAGUGGAUGAAGCAGCCACCAUUCUGAGCAUUGCCAGUUGCCAUGGCAGAAGAAAAGAAUCAACUCUGAAGAGUAUUGCCUUGGUAAUUAAAUGCUCUGAUUUAAAAGUG